CUCGUAGGCGGUUUGUCGCGUCGGGAGUGAAAACACCGGGCUUAACUCGGUGCUUGCUUUCGAUACGGGCAGACUAGAGGCAUUCAGGGGAGAACGGAAUUCCUGGUGUAGCGGUGAAAUGCGCAGAUAUCAGGAGGAACACCGGUGGCGAAGGCGGUUCUCUGGGAAUGUCCUGACGCUGAGGAGCGAAAGUGUGGGGAGCGAAC
RNAcentral lists this ribosomal RNA (206 nucleotides) under uncultured bacterium. RNAcentral's name for it is "partial 16S ribosomal RNA". It matches the Rfam family "Bacterial small subunit ribosomal RNA", at positions 568 to 773 of the family's 1533-position model. The record is from RNAcentral.